GAUGAACGCUGGCGGCGUGCCUAAUACAUGCAAGUCGAGCGAACAGACGAGGAGCUUGCUCCUCUGACGUUAGCGGCGGACGGGUGAGUAACACGUGGUUAACCUACCUAUAAGACUGGGAUAACUUCGGGAAACCGGAGCUAAUACCGGAUAAUAUAUUGAACCGCAUGGUUCAAUAGUGAAAGACGGUUUUGCUGUCACUUAUAGAUGGAUCCGCGCCGCAUUAGCUAGUUGGUAAGGUAACGGCUUACCAAGGCGACGAUGCGUAGCCGACCUGAGAGGGUGAUCGGCCACACUGGAACUGAGACACGGUCCAGACUCCUACGGGAGGCAGCAGUAGGGAAUCUUCCGCAAAGGGCGAAAGCCUGACGGAGCAACGCCGCGUGAGUGAUGAAGGUCUUCGGAUCGUAAAACUCUGUUAUUAGGGAAGAACAAAUGUGUAAGUAACUAUGCACGUCUUGACGGUACCUAAUCAGAAAGCCACGGCUAACUACGUG
RNAcentral lists this ribosomal RNA (497 nucleotides) under uncultured bacterium. RNAcentral's name for it is "partial 16S ribosomal RNA". It matches the Rfam family "Bacterial small subunit ribosomal RNA", at positions 28 to 507 of the family's 1533-position model. The record is from RNAcentral.